This is a long non-coding RNA of Lepidothrix coronata (blue-crowned manakin), 268 nucleotides long. RefSeq lists it as uncharacterized. Lineage: Eukaryota; Metazoa; Chordata; Aves; Passeriformes; Pipridae. The transcript has 3 exons. The record is from RefSeq and is a predicted model, not a curated record.
GAAUGUUACAGUGCUGAUGCUGUGCUGAGCAGUAACCAAAACACCGGACAAGUCCCAAGGAAACAGCGCUUCAGGACUCUAUCCCUGGAUCUGUUUUAUCUGAGUGAGAAACUUCCAGCCUUUCUAUAGGAAAGGAGAACAUUGCAGAGAAACAUCUCUCUGCAAAUGCCUAUUACAAACCCCCACAGUUUCAACACAGCCUGCGUUGAACCAGCCUGCCAAGAACCCCACAAGACAGUUUUGCUUUGUCAUGUGGAUAAGGUUCAAA